Molecule: ribosomal RNA, 387 nt
Filed under: Clostridioides difficile
Lineage: Bacteria; Bacillati; Bacillota; Clostridia; Peptostreptococcales; Peptostreptococcaceae
Description: bacterial LSU rRNA
Rfam family: Bacterial large subunit ribosomal RNA
Source: RNAcentral
UACUACCGAAGCUACGGCAUCAGUAAUGAUGGGUAGGGGAGCUUCCCAUACGGGUUGAAGCAUGACCGUAAGGACAUGUGGACAGUAUGGGAGUGAGAAUGUUGGCAUGAGUAGCGAGAUGUGGGUGAGAAUCCCACAGGCCGUAAACCCAAGGUUUCCAGGGGAAGGUUCGUCCGCCCUGGGGUAGUCGGGACCUAAGCUGAGGCCGAAAGGCGUAGGGGAUGGACAACAGGUUGAUAUUCCUGUACUACCGAUAACCGUUUGAGAGAAGGGAUGACACAGUAGGAUAAGCUAAGCACACUGUUGGUUAUGUGUGCCCAAGCAUUGAGGCAGUCAAAGUAGGCAAAUCCGCUUUGAUAAUGCUGGGAUGUGAUGGGGAGCGAAAUU